RNAcentral lists this signal recognition particle RNA (243 nucleotides) under Desulfococcaceae bacterium HSG8. RNAcentral's name for it is "signal recognition particle sRNA large type". It matches the Rfam family "Bacterial large signal recognition particle RNA". Rfam says of the family: The signal recognition particle (SRP) is a universally conserved ribonucleoprotein involved in the co-translational targeting of proteins to membranes. Archaeal SRP consists of a 7S RNA and homologues of the eukaryotic SRP19 and SRP54 proteins. Lineage: Bacteria; Pseudomonadati; Thermodesulfobacteriota; Desulfobacteria; Desulfobacterales; Desulfococcaceae. The record is from RNAcentral.
UUGUGCUAGGCGGGGCGCUAGCGGUGCCCUCUUCCCGAAAUCCGCUAUAUGCGGGGCUGAAUCCCUUCUGAAGGGUUUUACUCUGAAAUUUGCAGUCAUUCUGACCGGCCGCCGCGCAACAGACGGUCGCGAACCUUGUCAGAUCCGGAAGGAAGCAGCAAUAAGUGAUGCGGUCUGUGUCGCGGAUCGAUCCCGGUCAUGUGAUGGCUCGUUUUUCAGAGAGAUUCGACAGGGGGUGCACAA